ACGGCUCCCCAAGGGGAGGAUACAUAGCCGACCUGGAAGGGUGAUCGGCCCCACUGGGACUGAGACACGGCCCAGAUUCCUACGGGAGGCAGCAGUAGGGAUUUUCGGCAAUGGGGGCAACCCUGACCGAGCAACGCCGCGUGAGUGAAGAAGGUUUUCGGAUCGUAAAGCUCUGUUGUAAGAGAAGAACGAGUGUGAGAGUGGAAAGUUCACACUGUGACGGUAACUUACCAGAAAGGGACGGCUAACUACGUGCCAGCAGCCGCGGUAAUACGUAGGUCCCGAGCGUUAUCCGGAUUUAUUGGGCGUAAAGCGAGCGCAGGCGGUUAGAUAAGUCUGAAGUUAAAGGCUGUGGCUUAACCAUAGUACGCUUUGGAAACUGUUUAACUUGAGUGCAGAAGGGGAGAGUGGAAUUCCAUGUGUAGCGGUGAAAUGCGUAGAUAUAUGGAGGAACACCGGUGGCGAAAGCGGCUCUCUGGUCUGUAACUGACGCUGAGGCUCGAAAGCGUGGGGAGCAAACAGGAUUAGAUACCCUGGUAGUCCACGCCGUAAACGAUGAGUGCUAGGUGUUGGGUCCUUUCCGGGACUCAGUGCCGCAGCUAACGCAUUAAGCACUGGUCUUGCAAUUCAGUUGGGCACUCUAGCGAGACUGCCGGUUAUGACCUGGGCUACACACGUGCU
Molecule: ribosomal RNA, 681 nt
Filed under: Streptococcus parasanguinis
Lineage: Bacteria; Bacillati; Bacillota; Bacilli; Lactobacillales; Streptococcaceae
Description: bacterial SSU rRNA
Rfam family: Bacterial small subunit ribosomal RNA
Source: RNAcentral